GCGUCGGUUAGCGUCUGGUUAGCGCGUUGGACUCCGGAUCGAGCGGUCCGGGUUCGAGCCCUGGCCGGGGUCA
Non-coding RNA from Desmophyllum pertusum, 73 nucleotides. Lineage: Eukaryota; Metazoa; Cnidaria; Anthozoa; Scleractinia; Caryophylliidae. The record is from the annotation of a GenBank genome assembly.